This 172-nucleotide non-coding RNA is filed under the name bovine gut metagenome. Its description in RNAcentral is "Lysine riboswitch". It matches the Rfam family "Lysine riboswitch aptamer". From Rfam's summary of the family: Riboswitches are metabolite binding domains within certain messenger RNAs that serve as precision sensors for their corresponding targets. Allosteric rearrangement of mRNA structure is mediated by ligand binding, and this results in modulation of gene expression. The record is from RNAcentral.
UAUGAUAGAGGCGCGGGAAAGAUCAGUAGCUCCCUUCUCAGACGCGGCGGGGACCGCGGGGGCGAAAGGCUUUACCGCCGAAGGGUAUCCGUUUUCCCGGACGGAUAUGCCUGGGCCGGUGUGAGAACAUCCGCCGGACUGUCGUCUUUUUUCAAAGACGGAGAGCUGUCAG